UGACAAUGGUGUCUUUGAAGUGGUGGCCAC
This 30-nucleotide non-coding RNA is filed under the name Mus musculus (house mouse). Lineage: Eukaryota; Metazoa; Chordata; Mammalia; Rodentia; Muridae. The record is from RNAcentral.